AUCUAAUUAAAAAGAUUAUAUUUAAAUUGGAAGUUUAAAAAAUAAAUUAAAAAAAGGGAUUUUUUUAACAGAAAAUAGCAUUUCACUUAUUAAAGCAUGGUUACAUUGUUCAAAGUCCAUCUACAACAGAGAUCCCAAGUAAACAACAGCCCAACAAAAGAAAGGAGCCAAGGUCCUCAGAAAACAGUAAAACAGACGGUGAAUGGAUGCUUGACCCAACACCAAUGACCCCACAAAAGAGAAGCAGAAAACAAGCGCCGCCUGCAGCACUGAGAGACCUAACUACACUAGAAAUAGUGCUCAGAGUAUGCAGAAAAUGAGCAAAACCAACUCAACUCCCCAGAUAAAAGCGCGCGAGGAUCAAUCUACUGUAGAGGAAGAAACAAAUAACCAUGGAUAUGCCGAAUGAUUGAGAAUAACAUGAUGGAGACUCUGGUGUCUCAUUCUUGUAUAACUCAAGGACCAAUGAUUAUCAUUUUAUUUGGAGCCAUCGCCUCCUUUGAAUUGCCAGCUAACUGGGAAAUUUGCAUACGUUGAAAUUCGGUCAAACACCGAAUUUCAAUGGGAAUAAGAAAAUUGGAUUUCGUUGCUUCACUG
RNAcentral lists this unclassified non-coding RNA (597 nucleotides) under Hevea brasiliensis (rubber tree). Lineage: Eukaryota; Viridiplantae; Streptophyta; Magnoliopsida; Malpighiales; Euphorbiaceae. The record is from RNAcentral.